Capsicum annuum is the source of this 1232-nucleotide long non-coding RNA. RefSeq lists it as uncharacterized. The transcript is spliced from 5 exons. The record is from RefSeq and is a predicted model, not a curated record. Lineage: Eukaryota; Viridiplantae; Streptophyta; Magnoliopsida; Solanales; Solanaceae.
ACCCCAAACCAGCCCAAUAGCCAACAAGCUGACCCGACCCAACUCUAUUUCUCCUUUUUCCCUUUACAGCAAACAACAACUUCCACAAUAUCAACAUACAUACGCACAUAACAACAACACGGCAAAAACCAACUCCUAUCGGCAACAACAUCCAACGACGCCAAUCAACGUUCGGACCACCAGACAAUGAGAAAUCCGAUGGUUCUUUCUCCUCUCUCCCCUACUCUAUUCCCGUCUCCGUCAAAAUCACUUCGAUAACUUUCCCUUCCUUACUUUUUCCGAAAAUAUAGAUCCUAAAAGGGACUCCCUUUUCUCCAUUAUAGACCUCUGAAAAGAGAAAUAUGUAAGCAUUCAAUGGUCCUUGGAGUGUUGUCCCUUUGAUUCAACAAACAAUUAGUUGUUCACCUUGAAGAACUCAAAUGGUUCAAAUCAAAUCUCUACCAAGUCUAAGUCUUUCAAAUCAGUUCCAAAAAGUCAAAGUAUGUGGUGAAAUUGUUCUCCAGCUUAUCAUCUAAGUUCGCUGCUCUGGAGAAGGAAUCUUGGGUCAAGGAAGGCUAGGGUUUCUUCAAUAAGGUCAAUUUGGGUAUUACAAAGGCAGCUUGAAGUGUCUGUGGAAAAAUAUUCAUAACGCAUCAUGGGAGGGUCUAAAUUACGAACAACUUGUGGUGCUGGAAAGUAGACUCGCAAAGCUAUGUUAUAUGAGAAAAUCACACUCAUAUUUUGUCUGGAUCUGCCCAGGUCUUCAAGCACAGAGAGUAUAACUUUAGUCCUUCGCAAAUAUUGUGAACUUUCGUGAUCGUACAACAACAUACCCUUAACUUGAAAUUGGAAACGAUGAAUGAUACUCACCUGCUAGAGUCCUCACUUUGAAGGUUCACCCUCCGGUACUACUAAAAAGUCUUGUUUUAGCCAUGUGAUUUAGUGAGGGACGUUCCCUCACUAAUCAAGAUUUAGUGAGGACAACCGUCAUUACCUGGUGUCUUGCUAAUUUGAGUCAUGCUAAUAAUUAGUGAGGGAGAAUUCAUAAAGUAGUGAAGGACCCCGACACUCAGUCAUCACUAUUUUGGUAUUGUAAUUUCCAGAAAAAUAUAAUGUAGCAAAGGACUUCCCUUGUUAUAUUACAAAUAUAUAUCAUAUUAAUUUAUUAUUUAGUGGGGAAUACCCCUUGCUAUAUUAAAAAUAUAUACAAUAGUAAUUUAUUAUUUAGUGAGGGAUGAUCCUUAAUAAGUGAA